UCUCGUAGAACGUCACGUUAGAUUACAUUUUUGCCGCCAGGGAAUAUACGAGCCCAAGCUUAUGACCCAAAGGACUUGACGGUGUCCCACCCACCUAGAGGAGCCUGUUCUAUAAUCGAUUCUCCCCGAUAAACCUCACCGUUUCUAGCCUACUCAGCCUGUAUACCGCCAUCUUCAGCAAACGGA
This 186-nucleotide ribosomal RNA is filed under the name Uperodon systoma. RNAcentral's name for it is "partial 12S ribosomal RNA". Lineage: Eukaryota; Metazoa; Chordata; Amphibia; Anura; Microhylidae. The record is from RNAcentral.